UCCCUUAGAAAACAAGGUAAAGAACGUCGGUGAGCAACCAUAUCAUGGGUAUAUGGGUCCAAACCCCGCCAUUCCACUCUACGAGAGCUUGUGCAUCGAUAAUGUGACAUCCCCCCAGGCAACUCACAAGUUCAAGAAUCUGAUGUGGCCUGCUGGAAAGAAAAACUUCAGGUAAGUUGGUAACUUCAACUUUUUACGUAUCAUUUACACAUGGUUUAUUAGAUUGUUUACACAAACUUUUUCUUUGUUGUUUUGGUGCAGUGAAACCACAGAUUCAUUUGGCCAGUUAUUAGCUGAUUUGGAUCGAACAGUGGGACAAAUGAUAUUCGAUAGCUUUGGGGUAGGAAACGAAUACGAGUCUGUUGCUUGUUGCAACAGUCACCUCCUUAGAUUCAUCAAAUAUAAGGUGCCGGAGGACCCUGAUAUUACGUUAAGGUUUCCAAUGCAUACAGAUAAUAACUUCACAACCAUAGUUGUUCAGCAUGAUGUUAGUGGGUUGGAGGUUAAAACAAAGGAAGGUGAUUGGAUUAAUAUCGAGUCUGUACCUUCGCACUUCUUAUUCAUGGCAGCCGAAGGAUUGCAGGUGAGUCCAAACUUUAAAUGCGGUAGUUCCAUCCUAUACGAAUAACGUACCGUCACAUAUACGAAAAAAAAUGUUCAUCGUAGCACAAUAUAAUAUGUAUAACAAAGACAAGAUAUUAAUAAUGAUGCAAGUAGUAAAUUUCUAAACAUAUUUCUUUUAUUUGGAUUCAGGUAUGGAGCAACGACAGAAUAAAAGCUUGCCAACAUCGAGUAAAACAUCGCGGAGACAAGACAAGAUACUCUCUCGGUCUGUUUACAUUCAACAAUGGAGUCAUACAAGUACCAAAAGAACUAGUGGACGAUGAGCACCCGCUGCUCUAUAACCCAUGUGACAGUCGUGGCUAUACACGAUUUCAUGCUUCAGCAGAGUCCAAGAAGGCAGCUUCUCGUAUCAAAGCUUACUGCGGCAUCCAAGUUGAAAACUAAAAUUUA
This 1014-nucleotide long non-coding RNA is filed under the name Malus domestica (apple). RNAcentral describes it as "long non-coding RNA (MDOM_LNC005167)". Lineage: Eukaryota; Viridiplantae; Streptophyta; Magnoliopsida; Rosales; Rosaceae. The record is from RNAcentral.